This 448-nucleotide ribosomal RNA is filed under the name uncultured bacterium. RNAcentral's name for it is "bacterial SSU rRNA". It matches the Rfam family "Bacterial small subunit ribosomal RNA", at positions 355 to 825 of the family's 1533-position model. The record is from RNAcentral.
UGGGGAAUCUUGGACAAUGGGCGCAAGCCUGAUCCAGCCAUGCCGCGUGAGUGACGAAGGUCUUCGGAUUGUAAAGCUCUUUUUGGCGGGGACGAUAAUGACGGUACCCGCAGAAUAAGCCCCGGCUAACUUCGUGCCAGCAGCCGCGGUAAUACGAAGGGGGCUAGCGUUGUUCGGAAUUACUGGGCGUAAAGCGCACGUAGGCGGAUCUAUAAGUCAGGGGUGAAAUCCCGGGGCUCAACCUCGGAACUGCCUUUGAUACUGUAGAUCUCGAGUCCGGAAGAGGUGAGUGGAAUUCCUAGUGUAGAGGUGAAAUUCGUAGAUAUUAGGAAGAACACCAGUGGCGAAGGCGGCUCACUGGUCCGGUACUGACGCUGAGGUGCGAAAGCGUGGGGAGCAAACAGGAUUAGAUACCCUCGUAGUCCCUGAGCGGGCUGGCAAGGCGCAU